This 73-nucleotide transfer RNA is filed under the name Alligator mississippiensis (American alligator). It matches the Rfam family "tRNA". From Rfam's summary of the family: Transfer RNA (tRNA) molecules are approximately 80 nucleotides in length. Their secondary structure includes four short double-helical elements and three loops (D, anti-codon, and T loops). Lineage: Eukaryota; Metazoa; Chordata; Crocodylia; Alligatoridae. The record is from Rfam by way of RNAcentral.
UUCUGACUAGCUCAGAUGGUAGAGCAUGAGUUUCUUAAUUUCAGGGUCAUGGGUUCAAGCCCCAUGUUGGGCA